CGCGCGGCACACAGCUCAGUAACACGUGGCUAAUCUGCCCUUGGGACGAGAACAACCCCGGGAAACUGGGGCUAACUCUCGAUAGGCGAAGAACACUGGAAUGUGUUUUCACCCAAUAAAUGUAACGUUAUGCUCGUUGCGUCGCCCAAGGAUGAGGCCGCGACCGAUCAGGUUGUUGGUGAGGUAAUGGCUCACCAAGCCUUUAACCGGUGCGGGCCGUGGGAGCGGGAGCCCGGAGAUGGGUACUGAGACAAGGACCCAGGCCCUACGGGGCGCAGCAGUCGCGAAAACUUUGCAAUAAGCGCAAGCUUGACAGGGCUAUCCCGAGUGCCAUCCGCUGAGGAAGGCUUUUACCCAGUCUAGAACGCUGGGGGAAUAAGGAGAGGGCAAGUCUGGUGUCAGCCGCCGCGGUAAUACCAGCUCUCCGAGUGGUGUGGAUGUUUAUUGGGCCUAAAGCAUCCGUAGCUGGCUAGGUUAGUCCCUUGUUAAAUCCACCGAAUUAAUCGUUGGGUUGCGGGGGAUACUGCUUGGCUAGGGGACGAGAGAGGCAGACGGUAUUUUCGGGGUAGGGGUGAAAUCCUAUAAUCCCGGGAAGACCACCAGUGGCGAAGGCUGUCUGCUAGAACGCGCCCGACGGUGAGGGAUGAAAGCUGGGGGAGCGAACCGGAUUAGAUACCCGGGUAGUCCCAGCUGUAAACGAUGCAGGCUAGGUGUUUGGACGGCCACGUGCCGUUCUAGUGCCGCAGGGAAGCUGUUAAGCCUGCCGCCUGGGGAGUACGAUCGCAAGAUUGAAACUUAAAGGAAUUGGCGGGGGAGCACCACAAGGGGUGAAGCUUGCGGUUUAAUUGGAUUCAACGCCGGA
Molecule: ribosomal RNA, 862 nt
Filed under: uncultured archaeon
Lineage: Archaea
Description: bacterial SSU rRNA
Rfam family: Archaeal small subunit ribosomal RNA
Source: RNAcentral